Molecule: ribosomal RNA, 492 nt
Filed under: uncultured bacterium
Lineage: Bacteria
Description: partial 16S ribosomal RNA
Rfam family: Bacterial small subunit ribosomal RNA
Source: RNAcentral
AGUGAACGCUGGCGGUAGGCCUAACACAUGCAAGUCGAACGGCAGCACAGUAAUAGCUUGUUCUUACGGGUGGCGAGUGGCGGACGGGUGCGGAAUACAUCGGAAUCUACUUUUUCGUGGGUGAUAACGUAGGGAAACUUACGCUAAUACCGCAUACGACCUACGGGUGAAAGCAGGGGAUCUUCGGACCUUGCGCGAUUCAAUGAGCCGAUGUCGGAUUAGCUAGUUGGCGGGGUAAAGGCCCACCAAGGCGACGAUCCGUAGCUGGUCUGAGGGGAUGAUCAGCCACACUGGAACUGAGACACGGUCCAGACUCCUACGGGAGGCAGCAGUGGGGAAUAUUGGACAAUGGGCGCAAGCCUGAUCCAGCCAUACCGCGUGGGUGAAGAAGGCCUUCGGGUUGUAAAGCCCUUUUGUUGGGAAAGAAAAGCAGCAGGUUAAUACCCCGCUGUUCUGACGGUACCAAAAGAAUAAGCACCGGCUAACUUCGUG